UACGUAGGUGGCGAGCGUUGUCCGGAUUUACUGGGCGUAAAGGGAGCGUAGGCGGACUCUUAAGUGAGAUGUGAAAUACUCGGGCUCAACUUGAGUGCUGCAUUUCAAACUGGAAGUCUAGAGUGCAGGAGAGGAGAAUGGAAUUCCUAGUGUAGCGGUGAAAUGCGUAGAGAUUAGGAAGAACACCAGUGGCGAAGGCGAUUCUCUGGUCUGUAACUGACGCUGAGGUUCGAAAGCGUGGGUAGCAAACAGG
RNAcentral lists this ribosomal RNA (253 nucleotides) under uncultured bacterium. Its description in RNAcentral is "partial 16S ribosomal RNA". It matches the Rfam family "Bacterial small subunit ribosomal RNA", at positions 524 to 776 of the family's 1533-position model. The record is from RNAcentral.